RNAcentral lists this long non-coding RNA (419 nucleotides) under Vigna radiata. RNAcentral describes it as "long non-coding RNA (VRAD_LNC005718)". Lineage: Eukaryota; Viridiplantae; Streptophyta; Magnoliopsida; Fabales; Fabaceae. The record is from RNAcentral.
GUAGAAAUUUGUUCUCGGAUUUCGUCUCUCAACACCUCCACAAAUUUGCUCCUAGGUUUCAUCACUGCUUCAACCAACCUUCGUUCUUCAUCCCUGCACACUAGACACCACAUCACAUGUACUUAUUGUUUUCCUUUUCCUUUAGAUAUGUUGGUGCAUAUGCACGUAAAAAUGGUGGAUUUGGGUGGAUUUGAAAAAAUAGAGUUCAAUGAGAUUUAAAAGUCUAGAUACAGUCUUCGUUAAAUUUCGAAAUCCAGUGUUUAUCAAAUUUAAAUUGUGAAUUAGAUUUAAAAUCAGAUUCCAAGUCUAGUGAAGCACUUGAUCGAAUUUCAAAAUCUUAUAAAGAUUUAACCAAAUUUUGAAAUCUAUUUAUUGAAUUUUGUAAGAUGGAUACUUUUAUCAUUAAUGAAAUUUUGGAG